UACGUAGGUGACAAGCGUUGUCCGGAUUUACUGGGCGUAAAGAGCGCGCAGGCGGUCGAUUAAGUCGAGUGUGAAAGCCCCCGGCUCAACUGGGGAGGGUCAUUCGAUACUGAUCGACUCGAAGGCAGGAGAGGGUAGUGGAAUUCCCGGUGUAGUGGUGAAAUGCGUAGAUAUCGGGAGGAACACCAGUGGCGAAAGCGGCGACCUGGACAGGUACUGACACUCAGCUGCGAAAGCGUGGGGAGCAAACAGG
This 253-nucleotide ribosomal RNA is filed under the name uncultured bacterium. RNAcentral's name for it is "partial 16S ribosomal RNA". It matches the Rfam family "Bacterial small subunit ribosomal RNA", at positions 524 to 776 of the family's 1533-position model. The record is from RNAcentral.